This 30-nucleotide non-coding RNA is filed under the name Rattus norvegicus (Norway rat). Lineage: Eukaryota; Metazoa; Chordata; Mammalia; Rodentia; Muridae. The record is from RNAcentral.
UGGUUGAACUUCCUACUGGGCACUUACCUG